Molecule: long non-coding RNA, 1071 nt
Filed under: Anas platyrhynchos platyrhynchos (common mallard)
Lineage: Eukaryota; Metazoa; Chordata; Aves; Anseriformes; Anatidae
Description: lncRNA (ENSAPLG00000031082.1)
Source: RNAcentral
AACAGGUGGUGGGUCAAGCCACAGCCCCGGGAGCUGGAAAGCCCCCCGACAGGUUGUUUGGGGCACCGAAGUUGCCGUCAGAGCCGCUGCGGCAGCCGGGAGCCGCGGGGCCGAGAAGGGGAGCGUGCAGCGGGCAGGUAUCUCGCCUUCCCCUCCUCGCUGACAGGCCAUAAAAGUCACGAGACGCCAGCGAGCCAAGCGGGGAGGAAAACAACGAGGCGUCCAGAGUUCAAACGUAGCCCUGAGCCGCCGGGGCCUCUGCCCUUGGCCGGGGCCGGAGCCCAGCCAGCAGCUCGGCGGGGAGCCGAGCCCGGGCCGGGCCCACGCUGCGGGCCCUACCUGCGAGGGGCAGGAGCGGGACCGAGGGGCGCUGCGGCUCCCCGGGGCUCCCCCCGACGGCGGCGGCGGCCCCUCGCCCACCCUCCUUCCCUCUCUGCCUGCCUCCCGCACCUGCGGGCCGAGCCCCGCGGGAGGAGGACGAGCUCUUUCCUUCCCCCUCCGCCCCGUCGGCUCCUAAAAUGGUGGGCCGCCCUCUUCCCUCCUUCCCCUCCCCGCCGCGCUGGCUCCGGGGGCAGCCGCCCCUCCGGACCCACCCGGGCCCGCCCGGGAGCCGCCGCCAGGCCCCGGGACGAGCCGAGCCGGGCCGGGCCGGGCCGGGCCCCGCGGCUUCCCGGGGGCCGCCCGCAGCGCCCUUACCUGCGCCGGCCUCACAUGGCCGGGCCGGGGCCAGCAGCACCGCGCCCCCCCCCCGGCUCCCCCGGCGCCGCCGGUGUCGCUGCCCCCCGCUGCCCGGGCCGAGGCGUCGCUGCUCGCCCCGGGCCCGCAGGUAUGUGGCGGCCCGCAGGUGAGCCGGGCACACCUACAGGAAGGCAGGCGGGCCGCCCUGAUUGGCGUGCGGGGCCGGGCCGGCCGCGGGCAGAGCCGCCGGAGCCAGCUCGGCGGCGAGGCUGCGCUGGGGCUGCGCUCCGCCACGGGCUCCGGGGGGAGAAGGCGCCUCACGCCCUCCCGGGCGGCGGCACAGCGGGUAGACCUGGCCCCGGGAUCCGUCUCCCCGACCGGCUCCAGAAAUAG